RNAcentral lists this small nuclear RNA (100 nucleotides) under Notamacropus eugenii (tammar wallaby). The record is from RNAcentral. Lineage: Eukaryota; Metazoa; Chordata; Mammalia; Diprotodontia; Macropodidae.
GUGCUUUGGCAACAAAUAUACUGAAAUUGGAAUGAUACAGAGAUUAGCAUGUCUCCCACAUAAGGAUGAUGUGCAAAUUCAUGAGACUUUCCAUAUUUUU